AGAGUUUGAUCAUGGCUCAGGACGAACGCUGGCGGCGUGCUUAACACAUGCAAGUCAAGGGGGCCCAGCAAUGGGCAACCGGCGAACGGGUGCGUAACACGUGAGCAACCUACCGAACUGUGGGGGAUAGCCGGCCUAACGGCCGAGUAAUACCGCAUACGCUUUCAGUGAGGCAUUUCAUUGAAAGGAAACCUACGGGACAGAUCGAGGGGCUCGCGGCCUAUCAGCUAGUUGGCGAGGUAACGGCUCACCAAGGCAACGACGGGUAGCUGGUCUGAGAGGAUGGCCAGCCACAUUGGGACUGAGAUACGGCCCAGACUCCUACGGGAGGCAGCAGUGGGGAAUCUUGCGCAAUGGCCUAACGGCUGACGCAGCGACGCCGCGUGUGGGAUGAAGCUCUUCGGAGUGUAAACCACUGUUGCCCGGGACGAACAGCUCGAUUAAUCGAGCCUGACGGUACCGGGUGAGGAAGCACCGGCUAACUCCGUGCCAGCAGCCGCGGUAAUACGGGGGGUGCGAGCGUUGUCCGGAAUCACUGGGCGUAAAGGGCGCGUAGGUGGUUUGAUAAGGGUGUGGUGAAAGUCCGGGGCUCAACCCCGGAUCUGCCGUGCCGACUGUCAAACUCGAGGACUGUAGAGGCAGACGGAAUUCCGGGUGUAGCGGUGGAAUGCGUAGAGAUCCGGAGGAAGACCGGUGGCGAAGGCGGUCUGCUGGGCAGUUUCUGACACUGAGGCGCGACAGCGUGGGGAGCAAACAGGAUUAGAUACCCUGCUAGUCCACGCCGUAAACGAUGGGUACUAGGUGCCUGGGGGAGCGACCCUCUGGGUGCCGGCGCUAACGCAGGAAGUACCCCGCCUGGGGGGUACGACCGCAAGGUUGAAACUCAAAGGAAUUGACGG
This 899-nucleotide ribosomal RNA is filed under the name uncultured bacterium. RNAcentral's name for it is "bacterial SSU rRNA". It matches the Rfam family "Bacterial small subunit ribosomal RNA", at positions 8 to 916 of the family's 1533-position model. The record is from RNAcentral.